GCUAGUUUUCCAUAUUCUGGAUUUAUAGUGCUAGUUUUGUCAAUCAUCUAAUUUUGGUGGAUUUUUAGUAUUGGAACCAAAUUAAGUGUUGAAUAUCCAAGGUUUUGGUGUUAAAAUAAUUUAUAUGGAGUAUAUAUUGUUAGUGACCUUAAUUGGGAUUAGGAAGUUGAAAAUAAAAUUUAUCAAGUUCUCAUUGGUAAGUUAAUAUUUCUGACGGCAAGAAAAUACUCAAGGCUCCUCCAUAAAGGGAUAUGUUUUAUUGUAGCAAGAGUGCGAUAUCAUACUUGGUAUUUGAAAGUGAAGCGACGAGAAGAAUGAAAUCAUGAUCGACUAUGACUUGGUGAGUAGAUAUAUAACUUAUAUUUUUUAGAAUUAUUUAUUAAAUUCAUGUUAGAUUAGAAAAUUUAUUAUUUCAUACAAUUGAUUUAACAUGAUUUUUAAAAUAAAGUAGAUUUAUACUCAGUUAUUUUUAAAGGUAAAUUCAGUUCACUUAAAUCAUUUGAUUAGCAAGUUAUAUGAAUAUUAAAUAUUUUAAUAUAUUUAAUGUUAUUUUUAAAACCACUAGAAAGUACCCAGGCGAUAUUACCCACUCUGCACUGGUGUGAAUGUGUUUCCGCACUAUAUGACUAAUUAUGGUGAUUUUACCCGCUCUGCACUAUUGUGAAUGUGUUUCCAUAGUAUAUGACCAGAGUUAUAGAAUUUCAGCUCUGUGGGCGUAUGACCAAAAUUUAAGAAUUUCAGAAUUUAAUAACUUUGUCAUGUAUAUCGGUACUAACCAAUACAUGAGUAAGGCUAUUCAUUGGACUUUUUUGGUGUGAUUUUUCACUAUUUCUACAGCUUAUCAAAUUUCAGAUUAUAAAAUUCAGUUUAUUUAGUUCUAAGAAUAAAACUUCCAGCUUAUAGUAUUGAGCAACAACAAUAUUUCACAGAUUUUCAUGGAUGGUAGAUUAUUUAUAUUCUUUAUAUUUUACAGUUAUUGAACUAGAAUAAAGAACAAAGAAUUUUAUGACCCAAUCAUAUUUCAGUUUUAAAAGUGCUACUAGUUUUCAGAAUUUCUCAAAGUUUUAAUGGAGCAAAAAAUUUCAGAAAAUGUGCAUAAGUGAGAAAAGUUUACUUGUUUGCAAAUUAUCCACUCACUGAGUUUUAAGCUCAUAUAUUUUUUCACAUUUUUAUUUAUCAGACAGAUAGAAGCCGAAUUGAGCAGUUUUGGAGCCUGUCGAGCCACCAAAUUGAGCCGCGCGUCAUAGGUUGCAUGACAUCCUUUAUCAAAUUAUACAUUAGGUGUUCUUUUAGGAUAUAUGUAGCUUAAAUCAGAAAAGUUCAUUAUGGGCUCAUUAGAUAUUUGAUAUCUUUAAUAUAUUUGGGAAUUGUUGGUUGUAAAGCUAGUAAAUGUUGAUUUUCCAACAUUUUAUUUGAAUAGUUUGUAUUUUAAGGGACUGUCUUACCCUAUUCUUAUUAUAGGUAUUAAUUUG
RNAcentral lists this long non-coding RNA (1472 nucleotides) under Olea europaea subsp. europaea. The record is from RNAcentral. Lineage: Eukaryota; Viridiplantae; Streptophyta; Magnoliopsida; Lamiales; Oleaceae.